GAUGAACGCUGGCGGCGUGCCUAAUACAUGCAAGUCGAGCGAACAGACGAGGAGCUUGCUCCUCUGACGUUAUCGGCGGACGGGUGAGUAACACGUGGAUAACCUACCUAUAAGACUGGGAUAACUUCGGGAAACCGGAGCUAAUACCGGAUAAUAUAUUGAACCGCAUGGUUCCAUCGUGAAAGACGGUUUUGCUGUCACUUAUAGAUGGAUCCGCGCCGCAUUAGCUAGUUGGUAAGGUAACGGGUUACCAAGGCAACGAUGCGUAGCCGACCUGAGAGGGUGAUCGACCACACUGGAACUGAGACACGGUCCAGACUCCUACGGGAGGCAGCAGUAGGGAAUCUUCCGCGAUGGGCGAAAGCCUGACGGAGCAACGCCGCGUGAGUGAUGAAGGUCUUCGGAUCGUAAAACUCUGUUAUUAGGGAAGAACAAAUGUGUAAGUAACUAUGCACGUCUUGACGGUACCUAAUCAGAAAGCCACGGCUAACUACGUA
Molecule: ribosomal RNA, 497 nt
Filed under: uncultured bacterium
Lineage: Bacteria
Description: partial 16S ribosomal RNA
Rfam family: Bacterial small subunit ribosomal RNA
Source: RNAcentral